UAGUUCAGUUGGUUAGAAUACCGGCCUGUCACGCCGGGGGUCGCGGGUUCGAGUCCCGUCCGCUCC
RNAcentral lists this transfer RNA (66 nucleotides) under Vibrio agarilyticus. It matches the Rfam family "tRNA", at positions 8 to 70 of the family's 71-position model. From Rfam's summary of the family: Transfer RNA (tRNA) molecules are approximately 80 nucleotides in length. The record is from RNAcentral. Lineage: Bacteria; Pseudomonadati; Pseudomonadota; Gammaproteobacteria; Vibrionales; Vibrionaceae. RNAcentral also lists the same sequence under 1 other name.